RNAcentral lists this transfer RNA (75 nucleotides) under Actinomycetes bacterium. RNAcentral describes it as "tRNA-Val(gac)". It matches the Rfam family "tRNA". From Rfam's summary of the family: Transfer RNA (tRNA) molecules are approximately 80 nucleotides in length. Their secondary structure includes four short double-helical elements and three loops (D, anti-codon, and T loops). RNAcentral also lists the same sequence under 5 other names. Lineage: Bacteria; Bacillati; Actinomycetota; Actinomycetes. The record is from RNAcentral.
GGGCGCUUAGCUCAGGGGGAGAGCGCUUCCCUGACACGGAAGAGGUCACAAGUUCAAAUCUUGUAGCGCCCACCA